UUCACUCAUUCAAGCCUUCAUAAUCCAUCCGCUGAAAAAAAUAAACUGGAAUGCUGUCUUAAAUUUGUGUCGUAAAGCACUUUUAAGGUAUUAAUAUUAUCAAUAAUAUUAAUUAAUUCAUAGUAACAUUUUCAUUAAUGUAUUUUAUCAUGAUACGCAAAUAAAAUAAAUAAAACAUAUAUUGUUUAUGUUAUUUAAUAAUAUAUAACAUAAUAAUUCAACAUCAGUCAAUUAAUAUCAUUAUUAAUUAAAUGUUCUAAUUAACAUUGAUGGUUUGUAACUGUAUUAUAUUCUAAUACAUUCAUAAAAAUAUAUAUAAAUAAUGGAUGCAGCAAAGUAUGGUCUUCCGGAGUCUGUGUCAAGUGCACAGAUUAUCAGCCAUGUCAUUGGACAAAUCACCUCGGAUACAGAUGACAGACAACACAGGAGAACUCUGAUUGGACAGUUGUGUGUGCAUUAUUUUUGGCCUUCAUAUAAAACCACUGAUCCGGCUCUGCUCGAUACCCUUUGACCUCAUCGUAGAUUAAAGGGUUCCUGUGCUGAGAGUGACCGCUGAUAGCUGAGAGUGAUCCAUUGCCCUCAACCUUCACAGAGCAGUAUCACCACAUCACCUACACACACACAAUCACCACAUCUUCAUCCUUUUUCUCAAAUUUCAUUCUAUAUAUAAGAUUAUAUUAGGUUGUCUUAGAUUAGUUUAGUUUACAUUAGGUGGUUUAGGUUUAGGUCAGUUUGACAAGUAUUUCUCUUGUUGUUUCUCUUGUCUUGAACUUCUGUCAGCAGGAUGCCAAGGAAGUCGAGGCGGUCUGUGGUGUUGAAGCAGCGCUGGAAGAAGCUCAACCUGGAAGAGCUGAGGUCUGAGACAGGUCAGAGACAGCCCUGGAAAGUAUGCCUCAUGCAUCUUUCCAGAGCUGUAGACCAUUGUUAACGUUUUUGAAAUCUAUACAACAAACGCCAAAGGGUUUGACAAUUGUCCACCACAACACGCAGGGUCUGCCAUGUCACAUGGUGGACCUGAAAGCACAUCACGAGCUCCAACAAACAGAUGUGCUUUGCCUUACAGAGACACAUUUGUCAGGGUCCUCUGUAGCUGAAAUUUUUCAAUUGGAGGGGUACACCAUGUUCACACGUAGCAGACGGCUGUCCUACAACAGCUGUGUGAACAUGGCCAAAAAAGAGGGAGGUGGAGUUGCGAUGUACUGUAGAGACACUGUGCAAGCAGAGCCUCGCAGGUACAUGCAACAGGUCACUGAUUUGGAGUUUGUUGUCCUUAAAAUUGAAGCUCCAGUCAAAGUGCUAAUAGCGACUGUGUACAAACCGCCAAGUUUUCAACUGGGAAUCUUUCUCCAAAACUUGAAAAACCUCUUGGACUCAUUGGACAUGUUAAAUCACAAGCCCAUCAUUGUUUGUGGCGAUUUUAAUGAGGACCACCUUUCAAAGGGGAAAAAAAGUAUCAAAGAUUUGUUUCAGUCCAGAGGUUACACUCAAUUAGUAGCAAAUUCGACAACCGAAAAGAACACACUGAUCACAUUUACAUUUCACAUCCUGAUAAAUGUCUUCAAUCAGGUGUUCUCCAAACAUAUUACAGUUACCACAGUCCAGUUUAUUGUAUUUUGACUGAGUAAUGACUUAUCUCCAGCUGUUACGUCCAAGACCUGUUGUGCCACGUUUUUACAGUGUACCAGGAGCUGUGGUCUUCUCCGGGUGAGUAUAGCAUCUGAGUGUGGUUGAUCUCCCUAGUUAGUUAGGGAGUGUGCCAGCUGGGCAGAGCAAUCUGUCCUUCCAUCGGUGUACUAUUUGUUAUUUUGCCUUUUUUAUUUUCGAGGCAAUCCUGGGUGGAGACAUGUUUCUCUGGUGGGGGCGAGCAUUUCAGGGCCUUGGUCAUUUGGCUGAGGUUUACUGAAGUUUUGCUUUAAAGAAGCCUCGAGCCCAGCACGUCUCAGAAGAUAGUUAGGUUUAGUUUGGAGUUAGGCAGGUACCAGGGGGCUUGCUUGGAUAAUCAUUUGCACUCGGAGAUUUGCUCACUAGUGAUGUCAUUUAUUUCACUAUUUGGUCUUGUUUAGUCUUUUAGUGUGUUUAGUCUUAUGUAAUUGUUUUUCAUAUGUAUGUGGUUGCAGUGGCAUGUCUUGGCUGGAAAUAAUUUAAUUGUUUAAUGUAAAUGUGUAUGUAUGUAUGUAUUUGUUUAUUUUAGAAUGGGGUCAGCAACUUUUUUCAUGUUCCUAUUAUCUCUUGAGAUGAUGAGAACGACCGGGCCAGUGUGUUAAAUGUUUUGUAAUUAAUAAUUUUGUAAAUGCCUUUAAACAUUUUUUUAAAUAUAUUUAUCAUGUAUUUAUUGACAUUGUGUGUAAAAUCUUAACUCAUGAUGUUCUCAUCUAUUUAGAUGAGAAUGGCAUGUGUAAGAUAUGAUGUAAGCUGCAAUGUAAUAGCUAAGCUCAUGUAAGAAUUACAUUAGCUAAGCUAAACUUACGCAAGUUAUCAAGUAAUUAUGUAAUUUAAGGAUGUAUAUUUAAUGAAUCGUGUUUUUUUUUAUUUUGUAUCAUGUAAUGUAAUUGUAUUUUUUUAUUGUGUUUUUUUAUUUGUUUGGGGUUUUUUUUCUGCUGGGUUGUUGUCACUUCGCUAAUGUUGUGCAGAAGUGUCAGGGAGGGAGCUGAACAUCCAGCUGAGAUGCAGACCAAGCUGCAUGUCAAACCAGGUGCAUAACAAACAUGAUCCAGUGAGAAGGACCCUCUCUCCAGCAAAGACAACAACCCAGAGGAAAAUAAGGGAAGUAAUAUUUAAUUAAAUUCUCAGCUUUCACUUCAGAUGUUUACAUCAGUCUUUUGAACCUGUAACUAAUUUAUGUCUUUUAAAUGUGGCAAAAUGUAUACAGACUACAGGAAGAAGACCUCCAGAGGACUGCAGCAACAAUAAGGGAAGUGAUACUGUUUUCUUUUCAAAUGUUUACGCGAUGACUUUGAACUAAUUCGUGUCUCACUCUCCACUGAAGAGGCAACAACUCUCAGACUCGGGAUGAAGACCUCCAGGAAGAAGGCCUCCUGUGCUUGUUUUUUGGAGAGAAAUAAAUAUCAUCUCU
Long non-coding RNA from Acanthopagrus latus (yellowfin seabream), 3073 nucleotides. RefSeq lists it as uncharacterized. The record is from RefSeq and is a predicted model, not a curated record. The transcript has 3 exons. Lineage: Eukaryota; Metazoa; Chordata; Actinopteri; Spariformes; Sparidae.